This 497-nucleotide ribosomal RNA is filed under the name uncultured bacterium. RNAcentral's name for it is "partial 16S ribosomal RNA". It matches the Rfam family "Bacterial small subunit ribosomal RNA", at positions 28 to 507 of the family's 1533-position model. The record is from RNAcentral.
GAUGAACGCUGGCGGCGUGCCUAAUACAUGCAAGUCGAGCGAACGGACGAGAAGCUUGCUUCUCUGAUGUUAGCGGCGGACGGGUGAGUAACACGUGGAUAACCUACCUAUAAGACUGGGAUAACUUCGGGAAACCGUAGCUAAUACCGGCUAAUAUUUUGCACCGCAUUGUUCAAAAGUGAAAGACGGUCUUGCUGUCACUUAUAGAUGGAUCCGCGCUGCAUUAGCUAGUUGGUAAGGUAACGGCUUACCAAGGCAACGAUGCAUAGCCGACCUGAGAGGCGGAUAGGCCACACGGGAACUGAGACGCGGUCCAGACUCCUAAGGGAGGCAGCAGUAGGGAAUCUGCCGCAAUGGGCGAAAGUCUGACGGAGCAACGCCGCGUGAGUGAUGAAGGUCUUCGGAUCGUAAAACUGUAUUAUGAGUGAAGAACAGAUGUGUAAUUAACUGUGCAGAUCGUGACGGUACCUAAUCAGAAAGCAACGGCUAACUACGUG